This 3185-nucleotide long non-coding RNA is filed under the name Panax ginseng (ginseng). Its description in RNAcentral is "long non-coding RNA (PGIN_LNC011299)". The record is from RNAcentral. Lineage: Eukaryota; Viridiplantae; Streptophyta; Magnoliopsida; Apiales; Araliaceae.
AAAAAAAUUAGUUAGCCGCUAGCUUUUUCAUUCCCAACUAUUGGACUAGAAUUUUUCAAAAUAGAUGCUCCAAGGCAACAUCCAAUCAAAUGCUGUCCUAAUAAGCACCGAGGCAAAAAAAAGAGGAGAAAUUAGUCAAGGAAUGAAAUGAAACUACAUUUAUCUGAAAUAUUUAGCUUAUGGACCUCAGUUGGACAGGACAGUACAAUGAAUUAAAAGUUUCAGUCAAGAAGAAUAUAUGAGAACCAAACAUCCAAGGAGGUAUAUUAGUUUUUCUUAUUUAUUUAAAGUAAUUCUGUAUAUUUGUUUUAAUAUUGUUUUACGUGCCAAAUAUUUUUAUUUACAAACUCGAAGCACACGGGGGGCAUAACUAAGUAUCCAUCUUGCUCAAUAUUCUUCAUUUAUCUUCUCAUGUAAAAGGGGUUUUACUUUUUACGUAGCAUAGAGUGUUCAAUUGGCCUUAAUGCUUUUCAGGUGCAUGUCUAAUGAUAUAAAAGAUUCGUAUCCACACUCAUGUGUCUCUAGCACUAGUAAUUCAAAUUUAGAAGUCACAAAACUGCAGCUCAUAACAUAAAAAAAAGUUUCUUCUCUUCGAUUUGGUAUCCCAACCGCGGAAAUGGAAUGGCGAGGGUUAGGGCAGAAGCAAAAUAGGAUUUUGUUUGUUAGUGUGUAGUGGAGAUAAUGAAAUGAAAUGGAUUAUUCUAAGGGGCGGAAAUGAAAUGGAUUGCCAUAAGGCCCACAAAACACAAAUUUAAUCACACAAUUCAAGUUGGUGGGCCUUAGUACUUAAAAAAUUUUAAAAUCUUGGGGGGGCCAUGGCCCCCUGCAGUCUAAGCCCAACUUCGUCCCUGCCACAAAGCACAAAUUUAAUCUCACAAUUCAAGUAGGUGGACAUUAGUACUUAAAAAAAUUUAAAAUCUUGGGGGGGCCAUGGCCCCCUGCAGUCUAAAGCCCAGCUCCGUCCCUAGAAGUAGUUGUCGGAGAUAAUCGCCGCCGGAGAAAAAGAGGUGAGAGUCGGGUUGCUCACUAGUCUUGCACCGACUCCGCAUCCAUUAUACUCCAUGAAAGCAAUGGAAUUCUUAUUUUUGAGUUUUUGCUAAACUCACAGGCAUUCACCCAUACUCAUAACUGCAACAAUAGAAACUAAAUUCUUACUAUCUUGUUUCCACAAAAAGUUUUAUUUUGAUACCCCUUUUAGCGACGGACCGGGCGACGAUUCGGUCCGUCGCUAUAUAUAGGACCGUCGUCUUAACUUUUAGCGACGGACAACAUAUAACAACGGACCGAAUCGUCGCCCGGUCCAUCACUAAAAGGGGGUAUGCAAGGUAUGGAUUGUAGUUUGAUGGGUAUUGUAUAAAGUUGGGAUUUUUUUUUGUGGGAAGGUUGUUUGUAUUUCCCUUUUGGGCUUAUAGAGGAUAAAUUGGGUGUCUUAUGGUUCUUUUAAUAUAUACUCUUAAUAAUGUUGUAUGGUCAUUUUGAUGCUUGAAUUGUCUACUGUUAAGAAAAUUUGAAGUGGGUUUCUGCAUUUUAUUGUUGUUAGUGUUGAAUUAUGCUUAAAUUUUUAGAUUUUGUGUUUUGGUUUUUAAUAAUUGCUUUUACGUGUUUGACCCAGUUCAAUUCAUGAAACUUUGGUUGAGUUUUAGGGAUUUUCCUUUGUUUUGAGUUGACAAUAGUUUGAAUUCAAGAAUUUUUCUUUGUUUUGAGUUGACAGUAGUUUCAGUUUUAGGGAUUUUCCUUUGUAAAAUUUAUAAUUUGUUUAGUGGAGGAUGUGCAUACUUACUGGAGGAGGUCCCUAGUGGUAUUCUGCCUUUUGCAAUUUUUCAAUUUGCAAGCAUAAUAUAUUCCAGUCAUUUUCACUGUUUCAAAAAAAAAAAUAUAGCUUGAAUGAGUUUGAAGAUUCCUUUGCUAGUAUUCUCCCAAAUAAGUUAUCAAGCACGGGCGGUUUAAUAAUUUCUAAGUUUAAGAAUGCUAUAGAUUUGGUUGAACAAAACAUGAGUGUUUUUCUUUUCUUUUUUUUCAUUAAUUAUUAAUAUUUGGUUUCUGUUUCAAUUAUUAGGAGUUAUUGAAUCCAUAUUGAUUUGAACUUUGAUUAUUCACCUCAAUUCCUUCUGUAUUUGUGGAAAGCAGAUCCUAUGCAAUCCAAGAAUGCAUUUAAACUGUUGCAUGGACGGGGGUGUGACAAAGAUUGUCUUAUUAAUAUGUAUUUUUAAAGAUUGUAAGGCUAACUAUUGUACGGAUUUAUUGGGGAUGAGGAACUUUUCUUGUCUGGUUGGCUAACUUUUCUUGUCUGGUUGCACUUGUUUGUUCUUGGUUAUUGUUUUUAAUCAUGUUAUUGUAAAUUGGAAGUGGAUGAUUUUUGGUAAAUUGCUUAGAGUAAUGAAAGUUGUUAGGUGUAAUGAAAACCUUUGAUGUUUGCCCAAGUUUAAUUUUAACGGAAUUUCUUUUGCCCUUGUUUGGUCAAUUUCUUUGAUGUUGGGUGUAAUGAAAGUUUCGGAAUUGUUGCACUAGUGUGAAAAUUGUUGUCAAUUGUUUCCGCAAAUUGUUUGCUUGAAAUGAGGCAGUAGUUGCUAGAGCAAUGGGUGUCCUGGGUAUAUUUGGUGCUAAGUCACCUUUCCAUAUAAUACUAAUGAAAAGCAAUUGCUACCCAUGUCCUGAAGUUGUUUAUGAUUAAUGUUUGAGCAAGUAAUUGCACCUUAUUUUUUGGUGCAAGUGAGUAAUUGCUACCCAUGUGAUGGUAAAUGCAGAUGCUUUUUUAACCGCAAGCCGAAUAUAUAAAUUGAACAAAAUGAAAAAAGCAAUUGCCCAAUAUAAAUUACGUCUCUAUUUUGGAUUCGGAAAGAGAAAGAAAUUUUUUGUUUUCUAAAAAGAAUAAAGGAAAACCCCUCAUAAUGAACUUUCAGAAAACUCUUAGAACUUUUUCCAAUAUUUUCCCCCUAACUUAGUUUCAAACAAAGCCUAAGAAUUUACUUAAGACACAUUAAUCUUGCACUAAACUAAACACGAGCAAUAAAUAAAAAACUCCAACCCAUAAAAUAAAGAGUACUUGUAUACAAACAGUCUUGUUUGUCCAUUCUACAUUGGCUAACAAAGUUUCUCGGUAUGCGUAAACACACAUACAGAAUACUAAAAAUCAAAAAACUAGAAAACUAAAAGUUAAAUCUUUAAUUAUGGGAUAUCAAGGAAGC